GAUGAAGAACUUAGCGAAAUGCGAUAAGUAGUGUGAAUUGCAGAAUUCAGUGAAUCAUCGAAUCUUUGAACGCACAUUGCGCCCCUUGGUAUUCCAUGGGGCAUGCCUGUUCGAGCGUCAUUUGUACCUUCAAGCUUUGCUUGGUGUUGGGUGUUUGUCCUGAGGGACUCGCCUUAAAGUAAUUGGCAGCCAGUGUUUGGUUUUGAAGCGCAGCACAAGUCGCGAUUCAAAGCUAUACGCCCGCUUCCACAAGCCUUUUUCACUUUUGACCUCGGAUCAGGUAGGGAUACCCGCUGAACUUAAGCAUAUCAAUAAGCGGAGGA
This 323-nucleotide unclassified non-coding RNA is filed under the name soil metagenome. Its description in RNAcentral is "partial contains 5.8S ribosomal RNA, internal transcribed spacer 2, and large subunit ribosomal RNA". The stretch from base 1 to 120 matches the Rfam family "5.8S ribosomal RNA", at positions 35 to 154 of the family's 154-position model. The record is from RNAcentral.